Molecule: long non-coding RNA, 369 nt
Organism: Orcinus orca (killer whale)
Lineage: Eukaryota; Metazoa; Chordata; Mammalia; Artiodactyla; Delphinidae
Exons: 3
Source: RefSeq, a predicted model, not a curated record
GCCACCUGAGCACAGGUCUGCUCAGGGGAGUUUUCAAGUCUCAUUUGAGGUCCAGACCACAGAGAUAGACUGUCUUCAUUGCUCCUCCUUAGGUACUACUUGAUCCAUGACUAUGGAGACAGACAGGUUCUCGCAGGUGCUUAUCACGAGGAGGCCUGCUUCUCCCUGACGAUUCCCUUCCACCCCGAGGACCCAGCCCCAAGCAGCUUGUGCAAGUAUUUCAAGGACAGCAGGAAUAUGAAGAAGCUCAAGGACCCCUGUGAACCUGCGGGUCCAGCUGCUGAAGCACACAAAACGUGUCAUUGUGCACACCCUCUGUGUGUUGCCCAAGACUCAGCAUGCCUUCAGCUCCUUCGUGGUGGACACGUG